This is a long non-coding RNA of Gasterosteus aculeatus aculeatus (three-spined stickleback), 659 nucleotides long. The record is from Ensembl. NCBI's taxonomy places the organism in Eukaryota, Metazoa, Chordata, Actinopteri, Perciformes, Gasterosteidae.
GCCGUCUGUGGAUCCGCGAGGACUUCUGGUUCCCCGUCGGCCGCCGACCAAUCGGUGUUCGCUGAGAAAAGGGGCGGGCCCCGCGGUUCCCUAGGUUACCUGUGUGAUUGACGUCCAGCCUCCUGCGGCGGAGCGCGCAGACCUCCCCUUCCCGCACACUGAGGAGAAAUCCGCGAGAGAGGGAGAGACGGAGAAGCGACACAUGGGCGCGAGAGGAACGCUUUUUGUCUAAAGUCCCUCGCCGCCGUCCUCGCGCUCUCUUUGCCGGAAGGAUGAACGCGGGAGCGCCGGUAGAAGAAGGGGACUCCUGAAGAAGGGACUCGUCGCUGAGGCCAGGAUUUCUAGGCUUGUCUACUGUAUCUGCAUAGGAGGAGGAGUAUUAAUUACAUAACGCUCCAUCUAUACUCCUGUGUGGGGGCUGUGCAGCAUCACGCUGUCCCACUGGUCCAGUAAAGCAUCCCUGCUACCGUCGUUCAGAGGAGAGUCUGUAGUCUGGAGGACGUGCAGCGUUGCUGGUGGAAAUGGCAUUGGUGGAAGCCCCCCCCUCCCCCGUGCCACCAUGCAGGACUCCCUAAAACCCCCCCAAGAGUCCCCGCGGGUUUCGGUGACAGCAGGCGCCUCCGUGCCCUCAGGUCUCAGCGGGGGAAUAAUCAAUAAAC